Molecule: ribosomal RNA, 255 nt
Filed under: uncultured bacterium
Lineage: Bacteria
Description: partial 16S ribosomal RNA
Rfam family: Bacterial small subunit ribosomal RNA
Source: RNAcentral
UACGUAGGGUGCGAGCGUUGUCCGGAAUUAUUGGGCGUAAAGCGCGCGCAGGCGGUCCUUUAAGUCUGAUGUGAAAGCCCACGGCUCAACCGUGGAGGGUCAUUGGAAACUGGGGGACUUGAGUGCAGGAGAGAAGAGUGGAAUUCCACGUGUAGCGGUGAAAUGCGCAGAUAUCAGGAGGAACACCGGUGGCGAAGGCGGGUCGUCUGGGCCGAUGACUGACGCUGAGGAGCGAAAGCGUGGGGAGCGAACAGG